Medicago truncatula (barrel medic) is the source of this 648-nucleotide long non-coding RNA. RefSeq lists it as uncharacterized. The transcript is spliced from 2 exons. The record is from RefSeq and is a predicted model, not a curated record. Lineage: Eukaryota; Viridiplantae; Streptophyta; Magnoliopsida; Fabales; Fabaceae.
GAACAUAUCAGAUUCUAUUUGUGACAUGCAAACAUAGAAAAAUAUGAAUAAAACUCUCAAGUUUGUGUAUGUUUUGAUUUUAUUUAUUUCCCUAUCUAUUGUUUCAAAGAGCGUUGCCCAAUAUAAUAUUGGAUGCAAAACCGAUGAUGAUUGUCAAAAAUACUAUACAAAAAUGUUUGGGAUGAAGUGUUUUAAAAGCUGGUGUAUUACUGGGAUCUUAGACUAGCAAAAAAUCUAUGAAUUAUACCUUAUGAUUUACUGGUUGCAAAUACAAUAUAAAUGUCCCAGAGCCAAAUAACAUGAAUCAUUAAGAUUCAUCCUUCACUUUGCUUGAUCAUGACCAAGAGCAAAAUAUAAUUUUCUAGAUGCAGAUUUUCAAAAACAUAUAGAGAAGAUUUUUUUUUUCGGAAUCAGCUUCUUCACCGUUGCUCACACAUGUACUAACCCUAGUUUCCCUAACGAUCUUGUAAGGCUUGUCCAAAUUCAUGCUGCUACCAGUACGACAUCAUAGGAGCAUUAAACUUAUAGGUGAAAACUUCUGUAUAUAUACGAAAACAUUGAAUUGGUUUCUCAUGGUUAAUUCACAUUUAACGUUUCUGAUGUAAUCUAAAACUUAUUUUCACUAUAUGAUGAACAUUGUUUUUAGUC